RNAcentral lists this ribosomal RNA (468 nucleotides) under uncultured bacterium. RNAcentral's name for it is "partial 16S ribosomal RNA". It matches the Rfam family "Bacterial small subunit ribosomal RNA", at positions 28 to 507 of the family's 1533-position model. The record is from RNAcentral.
GACGAACGCUGGCGGCGUGCUUAACACAUGCAAGUCGAACGGAAAGGCCCUGCUUUUGUGGGGUGCUCGAGUGGCGAACGGGUGAGUAACACGUGAGUAACCUGCCCUUGACUUUGGGAUAACUUCAGGAAACUGGGGCUAAUACCGGAUAGGAGCUCCUGCUGCAUGGUGGGGGUUGGAAAGCUUCGGCGGUUGGGGAUGGACUCGCGGCUUAUCAGCUUGUUGGUGGGGUAGUGGCUUACCAAGGCUUUGACGGGUAGCCGGCCUGAGAGGGUGACCGGCCACAUUGGGACUGAGAUACGGCCCAGACUCCUACGGGAGGCAGCAGUGGGGAAUAUUGCACAAUGGGCGGAAGCCUGAUGCAGCAACGCCGCGUGCGGGAUGGCGGCCUUCGGGUUGUAAACCGCUUUCGCCUGUGACGAAGCGUGAGUGACGGUAAUGGGUAAAGAAGCACCGGCUAACUACGUG